AUUGAACGCUGGCGGAAUGCUUUACACAUGCAAGUCGAACGGCAGCACGGGGCAACCUGGUGGCGAGUGGCGAACGGGUGAGUAAUACAUCGGAACGUGCCCAAUCGUGGGGGAUAACGUAGCGAAAGUUACGCUAAUACCGCAUACGAUCUACGGAUGAAAGCGGGGGAUCGCAAGACCUCGCGCGAAUGGAGCGGCCGAUGUCAGAUUAGGUAGUUGGUGGGGUAAAGGCUCACCAAGCCAACGAUCUGUAGCUGGUCUGAGAGGACGACCAGCCACACUGGAACUGAGACACGGUCCAGACUCCUACGGGAGGCAGCAGUGGGGAAUUUUGGACAAUGGGCGCAAGCCUGAUCCAGCCAUGCCGCGUGAGUGAAGAAGGCCUGGUGUAAGCUCCUUCGGUCGGGGUAAGGAAAGUGG
This 420-nucleotide ribosomal RNA is filed under the name uncultured bacterium. RNAcentral describes it as "bacterial SSU rRNA". It matches the Rfam family "Bacterial small subunit ribosomal RNA", at positions 29 to 457 of the family's 1533-position model. The record is from RNAcentral.